AUUGUGAGGGACCGAGAAGCCAAGAACAAGGAACACAAGCGUUGCGCAAACAAAUGGAAACUCCCAGUGAAUGGUACGCCCAGACGGAACCAAUAAGCUUAAAUAUGGUGUUCCUGCCGGACUCUUGUUUUUCGUCACACCAGGAUGCGGCUGCAACGGACCAUGGCUGAAGUUGAUCACCGGUAAACUUAAACUCAAAAUAGAAACAAAUAUAAAUAACAGAUACAACAUAACUAAUUUGUGUGCACUUCAAAUCAGUCACAAUGCAUUGUGAAUGUAAAUGUAAACUUAUGCAAACCUAACAAUAAAUAGAGAAUGAAUGAAUGAAUUGUGUUUCCUGUGGUUACUUAUGCGAUCAUACUGAAACAAAUGAAAAUAAAUAAGAAGUUUAAAUAAGCUCAUUCUGAAAUGAAUGUCCUUCGUAUAACUAUAUGUAUGCAUG
Molecule: long non-coding RNA, 442 nt
Organism: Cyprinus carpio carpio
Lineage: Eukaryota; Metazoa; Chordata; Actinopteri; Cypriniformes; Cyprinidae
Source: Ensembl